AAAAUUCUAAAUAAGCUUUAAUCAAAUUCAAAAGAAAUCCUAAAGAAAUUACAAAAGAAACAAUAAAAAAUCUUAAAGUAGUUGAAAGAUAAUCUAUAAUAAAUCUUAAAAGAAUCCUUAAGAAGUUCUAAAAAAAUAUUAAAAUAAUCACAAUAAAUUUUAAAUAAAUCUCAACCAAGCUCUAAUUUAAUCUUAGUUAAAAUCCUAAUCAACUUCAAUCAAAUACUAGACAAUUCCUAAAUCCUACAUCAAAUCUUAAUCAAAUACUAAAUCCUAAAUAUAAUCCUAAUCAAAUCCUAAAUCCUAAAUCAAAUCCUAAUCAAAUCUUAAAUCCUAAACCAAAUCAUAAUCAAAUCCUAAAUUCUAAAUCAUAUCCUACUUAAAUCCUAAUCAAAUCCUAAAUCCUAAUCAAAUCCUAAAUCUUAAACCAAAUCCUAAACAAAUCCUAAACAAAUCCUAAACAAAUCCUAAACUUUAAAUCAAAUUCUAAAUCCUAAAUCAAACCUUAAACAAAUUCUAAACUUUAAACUUAACCCUAUCCAAAUCUUAAUCAAAUCCUAAUCAAAUUCUAAAUCUUAAAUCAAAUCCUAACCAAAUCCUAAAUCUUAAACUUUAAACCAAAUCCUAUCCAAAUCCUAACCAAAUCUUAACCAAACCCUAAAUCCUAAGAAAGUUUAGAACCUCAAUAUCUAUUGAUUAAAUUAUUGAUCUUCUUUAAAAUUUUAUAUACCUUUUAAUCUCUUAAUCAUAAAUAAUUACAAAAAUUUGAAGACAAUCUCACUUACCAAAUGAAAGAAAAAUUCUAAAAUUUGCUUCGAUGUUGGCCGGCCUCUUUUUCCAACCUUAAUGCUAAUCUUCUAGUGCUAACAUCUCCUUUUUGUACCAUUUAA
RNAcentral lists this long non-coding RNA (890 nucleotides) under Physcomitrium patens. RNAcentral's name for it is "long non-coding RNA (PPAT_LNC008790)". Lineage: Eukaryota; Viridiplantae; Streptophyta; Bryopsida; Funariales; Funariaceae. The record is from RNAcentral.